AUGAACGCUGGCGGCGUGCCUAACACAUGCAAGUCGAACGGAGCCAGAGUGCUUGCAUUCUGGUUGAGUGGCGAACGGGUGAGUAACACGUCGGCGACCUAUCCUGAAGAGGGGGAUAACGGCUGGAAACGGCUGCUAAUACCCCAUAAGCUGAGCGAGUCAGAUUGUUCAGCAAAGGCGCAAGCCGCUUCAGGCGGGGCCGGCGGCCUAUCAGGUAGUUGGUGAGGUAACGGCUCACCAAGCCGAAGACGGGUAGAGGACGUGAGAGCGUGGUCCUCCACACGGGCACUGAGACACGGGCCCGACUCCUACGGGAGGCAGCAGUGAGGGAUCUUGCGCAAUGGGCGAAAGCCUGACGCAGCGACGCCGCGUGGGCGAAGAAGGCCUUCGGGUUGUAAAGCCCUUUUCCACCUGACGAGGCAGGACGGUAGGGUGGGAAUAAGUCACGGCUAACUACGU
RNAcentral lists this ribosomal RNA (459 nucleotides) under uncultured bacterium. Its description in RNAcentral is "bacterial SSU rRNA". It matches the Rfam family "Bacterial small subunit ribosomal RNA", at positions 29 to 506 of the family's 1533-position model. The record is from RNAcentral.